UACGUAGGGGGCGAGCGUUGUCCGAAGUUACUGGGCGUAAAGAGCGCGUAGGCGGGUCUUUAAGUGAGGGGUGAAAGGUUCGGGCUCAACCCGAACACUGCCUUUCAUACUGGGGACCUUGAGUGCGGGAGAGGCGAGUGGAAUGGUCGGUGUAGCGGUGAAAUGCGUAGAUAUCUGGAGGAACACCGGUGGCGAAGGCGGCAUCCUGGACCAACACUGACACUGAGGAGCGAAAGCCAGGGGAGCAAACGGG
This 253-nucleotide ribosomal RNA is filed under the name uncultured bacterium. RNAcentral describes it as "partial 16S ribosomal RNA". It matches the Rfam family "Bacterial small subunit ribosomal RNA", at positions 524 to 776 of the family's 1533-position model. The record is from RNAcentral.